CAGGCUUAACACAUGCAAGUCGAGGGGCAUCAGGAAGAAAGCUUGCUUUCUUUGCUGGCGACCGGCGCACGGGUGAGUAACACGUAUCCAACCUGCCCUUUACUCGGGGAUAGCCUUUCGAAAGAAAGAUUAAUACCCGAUAGCAUAAUGAUUCCGCAUGGUUUCAUUAUUAAAGGAUUCCGGUAAAGGAUGGGGAUGCGUUCCAUUAGGUUGUUGGUGAGGUAACGGCCCACCAAGCCUUCGAUGGAUAGGGGUUCUGAGAGGAAGGUCCCCCACAUUGGAACUGAGACACGGUCCAAACUCCUACGGGAGGCAGCAGUGAGGAAUAUUGGUCAAUGGGCGCUAGCCUGAACCAGCCAAGUAGCGUGAAGGAUGAAGGCUCUAUGGGUCGUAAACUUCUUUUAUAUAAGAAUAAAGUGCAGUAUGUAUACUGUUUUGUAUGUAUUAUAUGAAUAAGGAUCGGCUAACUCCGUGCCAGCAGCCGCGGUAAUACGGAGGAUCCGAGCGUUAUCCGGAUUUAUUGGGUUUAAAGGGAGCGUAGGUGGACUGGUAAGUCAGUUGUGAAAGUUUGCGGCUCAACCGUAAAAUUGCAGUUGAUACUGUCAGUCUUGAGUACAGUAGAGGUGGGCGGAAUUCGUGGUGUAGCGGUGAAAUGCUUAGAUAUCACGAAGAACUCCGAUUGCGAAGGCAGCUCACUGGACUGCAACUGACACUGAUGCUCGAAAGUGUGGGUAUCAAACAGGAUUAGAUACCCUGGUAGUCCACACAGUAAACGAUGAAUACUCGCUGUUUGCGAUAUACAGUAAGCGGCCAAGCGAAAGCAUUAAGUAUUCCACCUGGGGAGUACGCCGGCAACGGUGAAACUCAAAGGAAUUGACGGGGGCCCGCACAAGCGGAGGAACAUGUGGUUUAAUUCGAUGAUACGCGAGGAACCUUACCCGGGCUUAAAUUGCAGUGGAAUGAUGUGGAAACAUGUCAGUGAGCAAUCACCGCUGUGAAGGUGCUGCAUGGUUGUCGUCAGCUCGUGCCGUGAGGUGUCGGCUUAAGUGCCAUAACGAGCGCAACCCUUAUCUUUAGUUACUAACAGGUUAUGCUGAGGACUCUAGAGAGACUGCCGUCGUAAGAUGUGAGGAAGGUGGGGAUGACGUCAAAUCAGCACGGCCCUUACGUCCGGGGCUACACACGUGUUACAAUGGGGGGUACAGAAGGCAGCUAGCGGGUGACCGUAUGCUAAUCCCAAAAUCCUCUCUCAGUUCGGAUCGAAGUCUGCAACCCGACUUCGUGAAGCUGGAUUCGCUAGUAAUCGCGCAUCAGCCACGGCGCGGUGAAUACGUUCCCGGGCCUUGUACACACCGCCCGUCAAGCCAUGGGAGCCGGGGGUACCUGAAGUACGUAACCGCGAGGAGCGUCCUAGGGUAAAACUGGUGACUGGGGCUAAGU
RNAcentral lists this ribosomal RNA (1440 nucleotides) under uncultured organism. RNAcentral's name for it is "SSU rRNA". It matches the Rfam family "Bacterial small subunit ribosomal RNA". The record is from RNAcentral.